Molecule: ribosomal RNA, 460 nt
Filed under: Scheffersomyces stipitis
Lineage: Eukaryota; Fungi; Ascomycota; Pichiomycetes; Serinales; Debaryomycetaceae
Description: eukaryotic LSU rRNA
Rfam family: Eukaryotic large subunit ribosomal RNA
Source: RNAcentral
UAACGGCGAGUGAAGCGGCAAAAGCUCAAAUUUGAAAUCUGGCACCUUCGGUGUCCGAGUUGUAAUUUGAAGAAGGUAACUUUGGAGUCAGCUCUUGUCUAUGUUCCUUGGAACAGGACGUCACAGAGGGUGAGAAUCCCGUGCGAUGAGAUGUCUGAUUCUAUGUAAAGUGCUUUCGAAGAGUCGAGUUGUUUGGGAAUGCAGCUCUAAGUGGGUGGUAAAUUCCAUCUAAAGCUAAAUAUUGGCGAGAGACCGAUAGCGAACAAGUACAGUGAUGGAAAGAUGAAAAGAACUUUGAAAAGAGAGUGAAAAAGUACGUGAAAUUGUUGAAAGGGAAGGGUUUGAGAUCAGACUUGGUAUUUUGUAUGUCUUGCUUUCGGGUGGGGCCUCUACAGUUUACUGGGCCAGCAUCGGUUUGGACGGUAGGAUAAUGACAUUGGAAUGUGGCACCACUUCGGUG